RNAcentral lists this long non-coding RNA (1244 nucleotides) under Helianthus annuus (common sunflower). Its description in RNAcentral is "hypothetical non coding rna". The record is from RNAcentral. Lineage: Eukaryota; Viridiplantae; Streptophyta; Magnoliopsida; Asterales; Asteraceae.
GCACCAACAACAAUUCUUUAGCCAUCUACCACCAUGGAACGAACAGGGUCUUCAGAAGAGCUGAUCGAUCUUUGGUUUUUGUCGACCAGUCCUUGAAUCGUUUAGGCCAGGGAUAAAAUAUGGACAUGGAAAUGAAUUAUUCUGCGUUUAAUGGCGUAAGUGAACACCAUUGAUAAGUCUCCCAUCUGAUCUCUCUGAUGUUGCCUAUUGUAAGAAACGACUUGUUAUGAUCCCCUUCACGGAAUUAGUUGUUGGUUCGUUGAUUUUGACCCGCCAAUCUGCAGUAAAACAUAGGAUGAUUCGGUGUUUAGUUGGUGUGUAAGCAAAUUUUGUUUGAUCUUGAUUGGUUAACAUAUAGAGUUAGUAUGUCGAGAUCCUCUCUGCAUAUUUCCAUGUUCUCUGUAGGUCUCUGUUUGUCAAUAAAAUGUAAGAAAUGAAUUCAAGGUAUUAGAUCAAUUAACUUAAUGUUCAACAUAUUUUUUUUUUAUUUUCUCCAUCAGUUAAAUGUUAGUUCUUAUGUACACUAUCACCACGGGUUCCUUUUAUCCUUAUUUUCUUUCUAAUCAAUUGUCAUAGCUUUCCAGUUUCAUUUAAAUAAACUUUCUAGCAGUUGUUUUAAAACUGCAAUAUGUUUUGACGUGUUACGCAACUCACUCGGUUAUAAACUUUAUUUAUAGAAAAGGGCUUGAUUUUUUAAUUCAUUUUAGAUCCUGAAAAAGUUGAGUUGUCGGUGAUGCCGGCGCUGGCUAUGGACGUUUGAUACCACAAAGCAGGUGAUGUUGCGAGAAUGUGACUAAAAGGGUAGAUACCAGUGGUGUUCCCAUUCUCUAUGUCACCGAGAACAAAAGGAAAAAAAGAGGAAGUCUAGUGGCUUUAGUAUUAACACGAAAGAGAAGUGUCACGUUGUUACUUCAAGGGGUCAACUCUUUAGUACUACAGGCCCGUCAGCGAUAUUGAAGAAGAUAAAACCUAGUACCGCCAACCAAGCAAGUGUCACGUUGUUACUUCAAAGAGAAGUGUCACGUUGUUACUUCAAAGAGAAGUGUCACGUUGUAAAUCUUUAUAUGUAUGCUUUUUUCUUAAACUUAUGAUUUACACAUGUGUAAACCUUUAUAUCUAUGCUUAUUUUUUUUUAUUAUUGUGAUUUACACAUGUGUAAACCUUCAUAUCUAUGCUUAUUUUUGUACUAUAAUGAUUUAUACAUGUAUAGACCUUCAUAAUUAAAUUUAUUGUUUUAACUAUUA